UAGCUCAACUGGUAGAGCAUGGCAUUAACGCUGCCAGGGUCAGGGGUUUGUUUCCUAUUGGGCCA
Non-coding RNA from Merluccius polli (Benguela hake), 65 nucleotides. NCBI's taxonomy places the organism in Eukaryota, Metazoa, Chordata, Actinopteri, Gadiformes, Merlucciidae. The record is from the annotation of a GenBank genome assembly.